RNAcentral lists this ribosomal RNA (373 nucleotides) under uncultured bacterium. RNAcentral describes it as "bacterial SSU rRNA". It matches the Rfam family "Bacterial small subunit ribosomal RNA", at positions 29 to 394 of the family's 1533-position model. The record is from RNAcentral.
AACGAACGCUGGCGGCGCGCCUAAUACAUGCAAGUCGAGCGAGAAGACGUAGCAAUACGUUUGUAAAGCGGCGAACGGGUGAGGAAUACAUGGGUAACCUACCCUCGAGUGGGGAAUAACUAGCCGAAAGGUUAGCUAAUACCGCGUACGCUCCUUGGACUUCGGUUCAGGGAGGAAAGCGAUACCGUGGGUAUCGCGCUCUUGGAUGGGCUCAUGUCCUAUCAGCUUGUUGGUGAGGAACGGCUCACCAAGGCUUCGACGGGUAGCUGGUCUGAGAGGACGAUCAGCCACACUGGCACUGCGACACGGGCCAGACUCCUACGGGAGGCAGCAGUAAGGAUAUUGCGCAAUGGGCGAAAGCCUGACGCAGCGA